RNAcentral lists this long non-coding RNA (847 nucleotides) under Rhinopithecus bieti (black snub-nosed monkey). Its description in RNAcentral is "lncRNA (ENSRBIG00000046085.1)". Lineage: Eukaryota; Metazoa; Chordata; Mammalia; Primates; Cercopithecidae. The record is from RNAcentral.
GAACCCCCUCACCCAUUCUUAGUUUAAAUUCUUCCUGCUGGGAGCCGAGAUGGUGCGGGAGCCAGGUGGAGUCUCAACCUCUCCCCUCAGUGACGGACUCAGAGACCCCACUAACAUGCCUGAAAAAGAUAAAAAAUACCAAACUUGGAGAACCUGAGGCAAAGAUGGUGCAGUGCACAAGGACAGGAGAUGAGAGCACGUGACAGGUGUCCUACGGGCAGCUCGGGCCUCAGGCUCCCUGGCGAUUCCCAUGCACAGCCCCCGGGGAGAAGAGCCUUGUUGAUGUUGAUCAGCAGGGAAGGAGGGACGGCUACGAGAGAGGCUGGAGGACAGUGGAGACAUUCAGAUCCUGCUUCUGCGCAGGAAGGGCUGGACCUCAAGAUGAAUCGCAGUUUUGGGGACCUCUUCUUGCUACAAUUUUGUGCACCUGUAGACUCCAAUGGGUGCAUGCUGAUGGCCGUAUCAUUAUCUCCAGUCUGUGGAGAGGUCAACGGUACUCUCAGCCACCGUUUUCUGAGAACAAGUUUGCCACUGUUAUUGCCCACCCUGGACUGCAGUAGCAGAAGCCACAUGUGGUGCUCCCAGUAGAGGACGGGAUGCUCCGUCCUCGUCUGCCCCCUUCCCUUGGAUUGAUGGAUGCUUCUCCGCACAUUGGCCUGAAUUCUGCUCCACUCUUCCCUGUUGCAACAGCAAUUCCUCUAAAUUCAGUGGCGGUCGACCUGACCCUGCGUAUUUCUUGUCCCAGUGCCAUUUUCUUUACCUGGAAUACUGCUCUACCUCUUCUUUUAAAGUAUUGAAUUUUCAAUAUCUUGUAUGUUCCAGUUAAAAAUAUAUCAUAAACUCUUUU